Molecule: long non-coding RNA, 1305 nt
Filed under: Homo sapiens (human)
Lineage: Eukaryota; Metazoa; Chordata; Mammalia; Primates; Hominidae
Description: HSALNT0094253
Source: RNAcentral
GGAAGGGUGAGAAUUUCUCGCACACUCUCUCCUAGAGCUUGGCAGUGCUUGUCUGUCCGUGGAUGUCAGAGCUCUAGGUCUUCCACCUUUGUACUCUAGGACUCAUACCAGCAGUUCCUAGGCUCUCCAGCCUUCAGCCUUGGACUGAGAAUGUUACCACCAGCUUCCCUGAUUCCCAGGCCUUCGGACUUGGUCUGAACCACACUACCGGCUUUCUUGGUUCUUCAGCUUCCAGAUGGCCUAUUGUGGGAUUUCUCAGCCUCUGUAAUUGUAGUCUUCAGGUUUUUCCAUAUAUAACAUCAUAUCAUCUGCAAACAAGGACAAUCUGACUUCUUCCUUUAUGAACUUUGGAGAAGUUUCCUGUCUGUAAAAAGGAGUCUCCCAUCAGCCUUUGCAGGGAAUUUCAGAAGGACUCUCUCUCACCAUAGACAUCAAAGCUGGGAAUGUGCUGAAUUUCACCUGAAGUCAGCAAGUCUGUCUCACCCAAGGCCCUCAACAUAGUACUUGCUUAUUGCUGCUGGUUCUUCAAGGUCCAAAUGCUCUUCAGUUAGCAGGGCAGUCCUGGAUUCAGUGCCUCGCAUUUGUGGUGCUCUCCCUCUCCCCAUUGCAAGGAAACACUCUCUGCACCAUGCUGCCCCUGCCAGGGGAUGGGAGACGGAUGGUGUCAGUGAUUUAAGAUUUCUUUCCUACCUAAGUGCCUCUUUCAGGAAUAUAAAGUUAAAACCAGGUACUGUGAAUACUAACCUGAUUUUUGUGGUUCUUAUGAAGGUGCUUUUUUUGUGUAGACAGUUGUUAAAUUGGUGUCUUUGUGUGAGAGACAAUUGGUGGAGCCUUCUUUCUCUGCCCCAACUCCCUAUAGGGUAUUUAGUAGCAUUCCUGGUCCAUACUAAUUAGAUGAAAGUAGCAACUGCUUUCACCCUCAUUUGUUGCAAUUAAAAAUAUCUCCAAACAUUGCCAAAUGUCUUCCCAGAGGAAAAAUCAACACUGGCUUAGAAUGACUAUUGUAGAUAUAUUUUAUAGGCAAAGCCAAAAAAAAAAAAAAAAAGGACUGGAAAGAGAUGUGUCCAGUGUGAUGCAUUAAUUGGAAGACAGUUAAACUUUUGUCACUAUCAGACAAAGCAAAUAAUCCAGGGUGUGUUGGUGAGCAUUGUUCAAUGAGGUAACCCAGGAAACAGCUUUCGGGGGUGGAAGCAUUGCCAUACCAAAUAUAUCUGAUUUAUUAGGUAGCUCACAAGAACUGAAACAAAUUUUUAACUUGUAGAAAGGCCAAAGAACAUAUGAAGAUUAAACAACAUCAAUUUUAAG